RNAcentral lists this ribosomal RNA (609 nucleotides) under uncultured beta proteobacterium. RNAcentral's name for it is "bacterial SSU rRNA". It matches the Rfam family "Bacterial small subunit ribosomal RNA", at positions 301 to 916 of the family's 1533-position model. The record is from RNAcentral. Lineage: Bacteria; Pseudomonadati; Pseudomonadota; Betaproteobacteria.
ANANCUNCNGCAGUCGACGAUUCCUACGGGAGGCAGCAGUGGGGAAUUUUGGACAAUGGGGGCAACCCUGAUCUAGCCAUUCCGCGUGAGUGAAGAAGGCCUUCGGGUUGUAAAGCUCUUUCGCAAGAGAAGAAAUCUUACUAUCGAAUAAAUAGUAAGGAUGACGGUAUCUUGACAAGAAGCACCGGCUAACUACGUGCCAGCAGCCGCGGUAAUACGUAGGGUGCGAGCGUUAAUCGGAAUUACUGGGCGUAAAGCGUGCGCAGGCGGUUUUAUAAGUCAGAUGUGAAAUCCCCGAGCUCAACUUGGGAACUGCGUUUGAAACUGUAAGACUAGAGUGUGUCAGAGGGGGGUAGAAUUCCACGUGUAGCAGUGAAAUGCGUAGAUAUGUGGAGGAAUACCAAUGGCGAAGGCAGCCCCCUGGGAUAACACUGACGCUCAUGCACGAAAGCGUGGGGAGCAAACAGGAUUAGAUACCCUGGUAGUCCACGCCCUAAACGAUGUCUACUAGUUGUUGGUGGAGUAAAAUCCAUGAGUAACGCAGCUAACGCGUGAAGUAGACCGCCUGGGGAGUACGGUCGCAAGAUUAAAACUCAAAGGAAUUGACGG